GUUUGAUCCUGGCUCAGGAUGAACGCUAGCGGCAGGCUUAAUACAUGCAAGUCGUGGGGCAGCAGGUCUGUAGCAAUACAGAUGCUGGCGACCGGCAAACGGGUGCGGAACACGUACGCAACCUUCCUUCAAGUGGGGAUAGCCCGGGAAACCCGGAUUAAUACCCCGUAAUAUUAUGGAGUGGCAUCACUUUAUAAUUAUAGCUCCGGCGCUUGAAGAUGGGCGUGCGCCUGAUUAGGUAGUUGGCGGGGUAACGGCCCACCAAGCCUACGAUCAGUAACUGGUGUGAGAGCACGACCAGUCACACGGGCACUGAGACACGGGCCCGACUCCUACGGGAGGCAGCAGUAAGGAAUAUUGGGCAAUGGACGCAAGUCUGACCCAGCCAUGCCGCGUGGAGGAUGAAGGUCCUCUGGAUUGUAAACUUCUUUUAUCUGAGAAGAAACCCAAGAUUUCUAUUUUGGUUGACGGUACCAGAUGAAUAAGCACCGGCUAACUCCGUG
RNAcentral lists this ribosomal RNA (503 nucleotides) under uncultured Chitinophagaceae bacterium. Its description in RNAcentral is "bacterial SSU rRNA". It matches the Rfam family "Bacterial small subunit ribosomal RNA", at positions 11 to 507 of the family's 1533-position model. Lineage: Bacteria; Pseudomonadati; Bacteroidota; Chitinophagia; Chitinophagales; Chitinophagaceae. The record is from RNAcentral.